UACAUACUGUGCGAACGUUAUUCGGAUUCACUGGGCUUAAAGGGUUCGUAGGCGGCUUGUUAAGUAGGGUGUGAAAGCCCCCAGCUCAACUGGGGAACUGCACUCUAAACUGGCGAGCUGGAGUGAGAUAGGGGUGUGUGGAACUGCCAGUGGAGCGGUGAAAUGUGUUGAUAUUGGCAGGAACGCCGGUGGCGAAAGCGACACACUGGGUCUCAACUGACGCUGAGGCACGAAAGCCAGGGGAGCGAACGGG
Molecule: ribosomal RNA, 253 nt
Filed under: uncultured bacterium
Lineage: Bacteria
Description: partial 16S ribosomal RNA
Rfam family: Bacterial small subunit ribosomal RNA
Source: RNAcentral